Molecule: ribosomal RNA, 497 nt
Filed under: uncultured bacterium
Lineage: Bacteria
Description: partial 16S ribosomal RNA
Rfam family: Bacterial small subunit ribosomal RNA
Source: RNAcentral
GAUGAACGCUGGCGGCGUGCCUAAUACAUGCAAGUCGAGCGAACAGACGAGGAGCUUGCUCCUCUGACGUUAGCGGCGGACGGGUGAGUAACACGUGGAUAACCUACCUAUAAGACUGGGAUAACUUCGGGAAACCGGAGCUAAUACCGGAUAAUAUAUUGAACCGCAUGGUUCAAUAGUGAAAGACGGUUUUGCUGUCACUUAUAGAUGGAUCCGCGCCGCAUUAGCUAGUUGGUAAGGUAACGGCUUACCAAGGCAACGAUGCGUAGCCGACCUGAGAGGGUGAUCGGCCACACUGGAACUGAGAAACGGUCCAGACUCCUACGGGAGGCAGCAGUAGGGAAUCUGCCGCAAUGGGCGAAAGCCUGACGGAGCAACGCCGCGUGAGUGAUGAAGGUCUUCGGAUCGUAAAACUCUGUUAUUAGGGAAGAACAAAUGUGUAAGUAACUAUGCACGUCUUGACGGUACCUAAUCAGAAAGCCACGGCUAACUACGUG